RNAcentral lists this ribosomal RNA (252 nucleotides) under uncultured bacterium. RNAcentral's name for it is "partial 16S ribosomal RNA". It matches the Rfam family "Bacterial small subunit ribosomal RNA", at positions 524 to 776 of the family's 1533-position model. The record is from RNAcentral.
UACGUAGGUCCCGAGCGUUGUCCGGAUUUAUUGGGCGUAAAGCGAGCGCAGGUGGUUUAUUAAGUCUGGCGUAAAAGGCAGUGGCUCAACCAUUGUAUGCAUUGGAAACUGGUAGACUUGAGUGCAGGAGAGGAGAGUGGAAUUCCAUGUGUAGCGGUGAAAUGCGUAGAUAUAUGGAGGAACACCGGUGGCGAAAGCGGCUCUCCGGCCUGUAACUGACACUGAGGCUCGAAAGCGUGGGGAGCAAACAGG